RNAcentral lists this ribosomal RNA (253 nucleotides) under uncultured bacterium. Its description in RNAcentral is "partial 16S ribosomal RNA". It matches the Rfam family "Bacterial small subunit ribosomal RNA", at positions 524 to 776 of the family's 1533-position model. The record is from RNAcentral.
GACGAAGGUGGCAAGCGUUACUCGGAUUCACUGGGCAUAAAGCGCGCGUAGGUGGCUUGGUAAGUCGGGGGUGAAAGCCUGCAGCUCAACUGCAGAAUUGCCCCCGAUACUGCCGGGCUUGAGGGCAGGAGAGGUGACCGGAACUCAAGGUGUAGCGGUGAAAUGCGUAGAUAUCUUGAGGAACACCAGAGGCGAAGGCGGGUCACUGGACUGCUUCUGACGCUAAGGCGCGAAAGCUAGGGGAGCAAACAGG